CCUACGGGUGGCAGCAGUGGGGGAUAUUGCACAAUGGGGGGAACCCUGAUGCAGCGACGCCGCGUGGGUGAAGAAGCGCCUCGGCGCGUAAAGCCCUGUCAGCAGGGAAGAAAAUGACGGUACCUGAAGAAGACGCCCCGGCUAACUACGUGCCAGCAGCCGCGGUACUACGUAGGGGGCAAGCGUUAUCCGGAUUUACUGGGUGUAACGGGGGCGCAGACGGCGAUGCAAGCCAGGAGUGAAAGCCCGGGGCCCAACCCCGGGACUGCUCUUGGAACUGCGUGGCUGGAGUGCAGGAGGGGCAGGCGGAAUUCCUGGUGUAGCGGUGAAAUGCGUAGAUAUCAGGAGGAACACCGGUGGCGAAGGCGGCCUGCUGGACUGCAACUGACGUUGAGGCCCGAAAGCGUGGGGAGCAAACAGGAUUAGAUACCCGGGUAGUC
Molecule: ribosomal RNA, 440 nt
Filed under: uncultured bacterium
Lineage: Bacteria
Description: partial 16S ribosomal RNA
Rfam family: Bacterial small subunit ribosomal RNA
Source: RNAcentral